Molecule: long non-coding RNA, 4044 nt
Filed under: Triticum aestivum (bread wheat)
Lineage: Eukaryota; Viridiplantae; Streptophyta; Magnoliopsida; Poales; Poaceae
Description: long non-coding RNA (TAES_LNC018709)
Source: RNAcentral
GGAACACUUGUUGAUGUUGGACACGAUGGGGCUGAGCUUUUGGUUGAUAUGUAAGAUGAUUGUCUGGUUGGACAUGCUAUUUGACCUGCUGGUUGAGCAGGUAAGCUUAUCUCCAACUGAUGUUCUACCUCCUCUACUGGAUAUGCUCCUUUGAUUGCCCUCCCUUCCGUCCAGCUUCCUUGGUUUCAGUUUACCUACUCCUUAGUACUCCCAAGUUUCUUCUGGUAAUGUGGGUUCUUCUCCCUCUAGCCCCUCUGAUGACUAAUGGCUUAGGACCUUCCUCUUUCUAUAUUGUGCUUAUGUUUGUGCCUGCUUGGAAAUGAGAAUAUUGUCAUACUAAGUAGUAGCAAAUGAAGCACUAACCCUUAUUGUGCUUUAGGGUUUGGUAGAACCAGGGGUCCUACCGGACCUGCUCCGGAGGUUGUAGGGGAAGGAUGGAGUGGGACGGGGCGUUGAUCGGGCGCGCCGGCGGCUGGUCGCCGUCGCGUCGGAGGGAGAUGGCGGCGGCUAGGGUUCCGGCUCCUCUGGGAGCCGGGCAAUAGGGAUAAUAAUAUUCUUAUUGCUUAAUUCCAAAAAGAGUCUUAUAGCCUAUAUUUAUAACCUAGAUAACUUGCAUAAGAAUUAACCUAAGAUAAGUUGUGGGCCAAGCCCCUAACUACUGCCCGGUGGGCCUCCUCCGGUUAUAAGCUAAACCGGUCAUAACACUUCUCCCCGCCUGCACAAACAACUCGUCCUCGAGCUGUAAGGUGGGGAAGCGCUUGCUGAAAUCCUCGAGGUGAUCAACCAGCGUCAAACACCUUCUCGACAGCUGGGGCGGCCAGGUCGGCGGCGACGGCGUCCUCCGGAAUGUAGUCUGCAACCUCCAGGUAGAAGAGUCGCGGGCAGGCGUGGCCGGGCGUGUAGGGCUCGUCGCAGUUGAAGCACAACCCUUGGCGGCGACGCUCGAGUAGCUCGGCUGAGGUGAGCCGGCGGAACGGGCGCACCGCGGUCGCGGCAAGGGGUGCCGCGGAAGCCUACGUAGGCCGACCCUGCGCGGAAUCUGGCGAGGGUAGCGACCCAGUGGCCCGGGACAGUGAUUCCUGCUGGAUAGCCACCGCGCGGCGCUCGAACGCGCGGGCGUAGUACAUGGCCGUCUGGAGAUCCUGGGGUCCCCUAAGCUCCACGUCCACGCGGAUGUGAUCCGAAAGUCCACUGACGAAGAGGUGGGCCCGCUACUGCGCCAUCACGCCCGACGCAUGGCACGCCAGGGCCUGGAAACGGUCGGCGAAGUCCUGCACCGUGGAGGUGAAGGGAAGGUGGCCGAGCUCCGCCAGUCGGCUCCCGCGCACCGGAGGCCCAAAGCGAAGGAGGCAGAGCUCGCGGAAGCGCUCCCAAGGGGGCAUGGCACCCUCGUCCUGCUCAAGGACGUAAUACCAGGUCUGUGCCGCGCCGCGGAGGUGGUACGAGGCGAGCCAGGUACGCUCCGAUGCGAGGGUGCGCUGCCCGCGAAAGAACUAGUCGCACUGGUUGAGCCAGUCGAGGGGGUCCUCCGUGCCGUCAUAGGUAGCGAAGUCGAUCUUGGCGAACCGCGGCGGUGUCUGGGUCGGAGCGCCGUGUCGAGCUUGCUCAGAGGUGCGGAGCAGCGAGGCGGGUGGCGCCUGGUCGGAGUACUCCGAGUAGGGACCGGCAGAACCGGAUGGCCCACCGAACUGCGGGAACGGAGUCGGCUGUUCGGGGGCCGUGGUGUAGACCGGCGAUGGCGAAGACCCAGCCGCCCAUGCUGGAAGUGGCGACGGGGAGGGCGGGAACCGGACCUGAUGGAUCGGGAGGCCGGUCGGCGAGGGUGCCCCCGAGCUGGGCAGGGGCAGCGCCGGUGGUUGCAGCGGCAGCAGAGGGGGCUGGACGGGGGCAGCGGCUGCCAGGGACGGCAACGGCUGCAGGUGCCAGAGGGGCGCCGUCGAUGGUGGCGGCGGCAGAUGCCACAGGCCCGCGGCGGCUGGUGGUGGCCUGCUGGAGUUCCUCGUCUGGAACGGCAACAGCGGGGGCCCGCCGCCUGCGGGUGCGCCCGGGAACAGCCACGGCGCAGGGUGGCUGUAGGUGGCGAUCGGCGCAGCUGGCGGAAGGCCGUACGCUCCUGCCAUGUACUGGUGGUACUGGUUCAUGUGGAGCCCUUGGACGGCCGUCACGAGCUGCUGCAGCGUGCUGGUCAUCUGUUCCGGCGUGAAGACGGCGGCUGGUGGCGGCGCGGAAGUGAUGGGGGGCGGUGGUGGUGAGGAGCCCGCGGCGGUGACCGGGUCCGACAGUGUGGGGGCCCCGGCGGUGGUCAUCGGGGUGGACGUCAUCGGGGCGGUGGUCAUCGGUGCAGAGGUGACGACGGGCAGGGGCGGUGAUGGCGUCGAAGAAGACAUGAUCAAACCCAAGCCUCUGGAUACCAAAUUGGUAGAACCAGGGGUCCUACCGAACCUGCUCCGUAGGUUGUAGGGGAAGGAUGGAGUGGGACGGGGCGUUGAUCGGCGGCUUGGCGCCGUCGCGUCGGAGGGAGGUGGCGGCGGCGGCUAGGGUUAGAGGCGGCUAGGGUUCCGGCUCCUCUGGGAGCUAGGCAAUAGGGAUAAUAAUAUUCUUAUUGCUUAAUUCCAAAAAGAGUCUUACAACCUAUAUUUAUAACCUAGAUAACUUGCAUAAGAAUUAACCUAAGAUAGCUUGUGGGCCAAGCCCCUAACUACUGCCCGGUGGGCCUCCUCCGGUUAUAAGCUAAACCGGUCAUAACAGGGUUAUAUUUUUGUUUUUGUUUUACUUGUCGUGGCUGCCUUCUACAUUUUUUCCCCUGUGGUUAUGGGUCUAUCAAGUCCUAGUGUGAUUUGCAUGUUGUCCUGUCUACACAAGUAAAUAAGUAAGUGAUAGCGAACAAUACCCGCAUAUCUGGUUUCAGAUUUUCCUUUAUUUAUAUGGUUGUAUAGGUAUGCCAUUUUACAUUGCUGCUUAUUUUGGGUCAUUGUGAUACCUAGUGAAUUAAUGAUUGUUCAUUGCUGGAAGGCGGUUACUGUAGGCAGUUUUGUUAAAUCUUAUACUGCUAAUCAUCGUUUUGCUUCGAGUUAUUAUAGUAGUAUAGUUUUGGGCAAUUUUCAUAGUUUCAGGUGGUUUUAUUAAACAUUUUCUCAGCACGUCACUCAUUGUCCGCUAAACUUGCAUAUAUUUGUAAUUGAUCACUAGACACUUAAAUAAUUUGGUCGGUCCGACAUACAUUGGCCGUGCAUUAUCUGGAGUUAUGUUCUUCAGUUUUGGCCAUCAUGGAUGUUUAAUAGCACUUCAUAAUCAUGACUAGAUUCGUCACAUAAAACUGCUUCAUCCCUAAUAAGAUCUUUUUAGUUUCACUAGCAUAAUCUUUGGUGUAGUGUUGAAAUUAUUGCUUGAUGCUGUGAAGAGUACAAAGAAAAUGGCAGUCAUUUUGGAUCUAAGGAAAUUUCAGUUAAUAAGAUGAGACGCAUGAUCCCUUGCUCCGAUUUGUUAGUGUCUAGCUGGGUCCUGCAUUUCUAAAAAGUAUGCCUUUAGCUAGAAACCUGCCCCUUCUUUUCUACUCCAUAAGACCAUGAGCCCCUCAUAUGCCCAUUGUUCUUUUAGCUUCUAUUCAGAUCAAAUGUAGCAAAAAACUGCUAAAUUUGAGGUCGAAUGUGUGAUACUACGCUACAAAUUACGUAGUGUUUUCUUUUUCUUAUGUUGUUUUUUCCUAAUAACUCUGAGAUGAUUUAACUUCCACAAUGGUGAAGCUAAUGUUUUUUAUUCGAGUCAUACAGAAGUCAUGAGAAUAAUUCCCAACGGAUAGUCCUGAAUGAAUAGUAGAAAAUUGUUUGGUUGAUUAUAUUGCUUGCUCCACAGGUCUCUUUACAUAUUCUUGCGACUGAAACGCUGAAAGGGCUUGUUGGGUGUAGGUAUUUGCAUUUUGUGUGUUCAACCAAGGAGAUUGACCAUCUAUGUAGCAUAUGCACUGAUCAGCUGUGAAAUGGACUUGUAAGAAUUAAUCUCUUAAUUUGGUAACUCCUGUCUAUUAUCUGAUUCUUGUGGACAUUC